GAAAAAGGAGACUUUAACUCCCCUGCUCCCAAAGCCAGGAUUCUAACGCAAAACUAUUUUCUG
Molecule: transfer RNA, 63 nt
Filed under: Cyprinella spiloptera (spotfin shiner)
Lineage: Eukaryota; Metazoa; Chordata; Actinopteri; Cypriniformes; Leuciscidae
Description: tRNA-Pro
Source: RNAcentral